CUCGCUCUAACGGGGUGCCUGGCGUUUUCGCCGGGCUGAGAGGCCAGAUGGCCAACCCGAAGAACCUGAUCCGGUUUGUACCGGCGGAGGGAUUAGACGUGCACAUCGC
This 109-nucleotide non-coding RNA is filed under the name Hoeflea sp. IMCC20628. RNAcentral's name for it is "TPP riboswitch aptamer (THI element)". It matches the Rfam family "TPP riboswitch aptamer (THI element)". Rfam says of the family: Vitamin B(1) in its active form thiamin pyrophosphate (TPP) is an essential coenzyme that is synthesised by coupling of pyrimidine and thiazole moieties in bacteria. RNAcentral also lists the same sequence under 1 other name. The record is from Rfam by way of RNAcentral. Lineage: Bacteria; Pseudomonadati; Pseudomonadota; Alphaproteobacteria; Hyphomicrobiales; Rhizobiaceae.